UUUCAACUUGGUUCACGCAUUGCAUUCUCCUUUCGCGUGUGGCUUCGUCUCACAGUGCUGAAUAAUAAUGGUGAUGGCUUCGUAGUUGUAAGUUGUGAUAAUAAUAACAGAAAACGAAACCCUCAAACGAAGGGAACAAUGCGAAUAUAAGUGAGAGAAGAAUAUAUCAAUAUCGUCUCCAAAUACGACGUCGUUCAGGCUGGAGUUUUAGCACCAGAUGUCUCUGAGAAUAAAAGCAGUAGUAGAUAAGUUUGUCCAAGAGUUGCAGGAAGCGUUAGAUGCUGAUAUUCAGGAUAGGAUCAUGAAGGACAGAGAGAUGCAAAGUUACAUUGGGGAGCGUGAACGAGAGGUUGCUGAGCGUGAAGCUGCUUGGAAGGCUGAUCUUUCUCGUCGUGAGGCAGAGAUUGCUCGUCAAGAAGCAAGGCUGAAAAUGGAGAGAGACAAUCUCGAGAAAGAGAAAAGUGUCUUAAUGGGAACUGCAUCAAAUCAAGAUAACCAAGAUGGAGCUCUUGAAAUUACAGUAAGUGGCGAAAAAUACCGUUGCCUCAGAUUUGCCAAGGCAAAAAAAUAAGGCUUGGCUGGGGUGACAAAAAGGAAAACCAUGCUUUCACUUUUCUCUCCCAGGGCUAGUGCUGUCGAGGAAUCACAUGAGAUGCCAAGCUCAGUUUAUGUACUUCAAGGAACAAGUAAGUGCAUGCACAACCAAGCACAGUCAAAGUUCUUCCCAACCAAAACUUGCAAAGGAAAUGGGGCUGUGAUGGGCAGCCAUCAACUAUGUUUUUACUUUUUACUUUGAGUAACCUUUGAAAUGGACUGCAGAUAUGGUAAGCCUGGUCAUGAGACAAGUUGUUUCCAUGGAAUAGUUAAUGAAUGUCAGUCUCAUGCACUUUGGACUC
Molecule: RNA transcript, 896 nt
Organism: Glycine soja
Lineage: Eukaryota; Viridiplantae; Streptophyta; Magnoliopsida; Fabales; Fabaceae
Exons: 4
Source: RefSeq, a predicted model, not a curated record